This 407-nucleotide ribosomal RNA is filed under the name uncultured bacterium. RNAcentral's name for it is "bacterial SSU rRNA". It matches the Rfam family "Bacterial small subunit ribosomal RNA", at positions 355 to 776 of the family's 1533-position model. The record is from RNAcentral.
UCAGGAAUUUUGCGCAAUGGGGGAAACCCUGACGCAGCAACGCCGCGUGAGGGAUGAAGGCCUUCGGGUUGUAAACCUCUUUUAGUGGGGAAGAAAAAAAUGACGGUACCCACAGAAAAAGCACCGGCUAACUCUGUGCCAGCAGCCGCGGUAAUACAGAGGGUGCAAGCGUUAUUCGGAUUUACUGGGCGUAAAGAGCACGUAGGUGGUUCUUCAAGUCUGAUGUGAAAUCCCUGGACUCAAUCCAGGAAGUGCAUCGGAUACUGUCGAACUCGAGUACAGGAGAGGACAGCGGAAUUCCCGGUGUAGAGGUGAAAUUCGUAGAUAUCGGGAGGAACAACAGUGGCGAAGGCGGCUGUCUGGACUGUAACUGACACUGAGGUGCGAAAGCGUGGGGAGCAAACAGG